UUAAGCUUAUAAUGUUUCUCAAUAUGAACAUGAAGUUACAAAUCGUUAUUGUUUCACUAAUGGGUUUCAUUACCGCGACAAUCUCUCAGGAUUGUUCGUGGACUGGAUGUGAAGGAUUGAUGAUAAAUGAUCAACAAAUUUGCGACCUAUAUGGAAAGGGAAUUUUCGCUCGACAAACAUAUAGAGAAGGCUGUUCUUGGGACACAUCAAUGAGAUUAUGUUGCCGACAGACUCAAGCUUGCUUGUGGACUGCUGUUUGUUAUGGCACAGCUUAUGGUCCGGGCUACGCAUGUAAUAAAGAGUAUGCCAAUCAUUAUCGGGCCACCGGAAAUCAGAGGAAUUGUGGUGGUGGUGCGUUUUCCUUCGAAUGCUGUCAAUAAUGUGCAUUCGACAUUAUUAAGAGCGACAUAGAAUUAAAGUGAGAGAUUUUCUUGCUGGACCUACCGCUUUCGACAUUGAAUUAAAGAUAUUGAACAGCAA
Molecule: long non-coding RNA, 480 nt
Organism: Bradysia coprophila
Lineage: Eukaryota; Metazoa; Arthropoda; Insecta; Diptera; Sciaridae
Source: RefSeq, a predicted model, not a curated record